GAACGUAACGCUGGCGGCAGGCUUAACACAUGCAAGUCGAGCGCCCCGCAAGGGGAGCGGCAGACGGGUGAGUACGCGUGGGAAUCUACCCUUGACUACGGAAUAACGCAGGACUUGUGCUAAUACGUAUGUGUCCUUCGGGAGAAAGAUUUAUCGGUCAAGCGAUGAGCCCGCGUUGGAUUAGCUAGUUGGUGGGGUAAAGGCCUACCAGGCGACGAUCCACUGGUCUGAGAGGAUGAUCAGCCACAUUGGGACUGAGACACGGCCCAAACUCCUACGGGAGGCAGCAGUGGGGAAUAUUGGACAUGGGCGCMGCCUGAUCCAGCCAUGCCGCGUGAGUGAUGAAGGCCCUAGGGUUGUAAAGCUCUUUCACCGGAGAGAUAAUGACGGUAUCCGGAGAAGAAGCCCCGGCUAACUUCGUGCCAGCAGCCGCGGUAAUACGAAGGGGGCUAGCGUUGUUCGGAAUUACUGGGCGUAAAGCGAAGGGGGCUAGCGUUGUUCGGAAUUACUGGGCGUAAAGCGCACGUAGGCGGAUCGAUCAGUCAGGGGUGAUCCCAGGGCU
This 562-nucleotide ribosomal RNA is filed under the name Rhizobium leguminosarum. RNAcentral's name for it is "bacterial SSU rRNA". It matches the Rfam family "Bacterial small subunit ribosomal RNA", at positions 26 to 660 of the family's 1533-position model. Lineage: Bacteria; Pseudomonadati; Pseudomonadota; Alphaproteobacteria; Hyphomicrobiales; Rhizobiaceae. The record is from RNAcentral.